Molecule: ribosomal RNA, 326 nt
Filed under: uncultured Bacillota bacterium
Lineage: Bacteria; Bacillati; Bacillota
Description: bacterial SSU rRNA
Rfam family: Bacterial small subunit ribosomal RNA
Source: RNAcentral
GACGAACGCUGGCGGCGUGCCUAACACAUGCAAGUCGAGCGAGGAAUUCACCUUCGGGUGAUGAACUAGCGGCGGACGGGUGAGUAACACGUGGGCAACCUACCUCAUAGAGGGGAAUAGCCUUCCGAAAGGAAGAUUAAUACCGCAUAAGAUUGCAGUAUCGCAUGAUACAGCAAUUAAAGGAGCAAUCCGCUAUGAGAUGGGCCCGCGGCGCAUUAGCUAGUUGGUGAGGUAACGGCUCACCAAGGCGACGAUGCGUAGCCGACCUGAGAGGGUGAUCGGCCACAUUGGGACUGAGACACGGCCCAGACUCCUACGGGAGGCAG